GGGAGUUCCAGCCCUGGUGCCAGCACCGGCGGUGGGAAUGCGAAGAAGGAUGAUGGAUCCGGGUAAAUUGGACUGGAUCUCUCUGAUUUGAUUUCGUGUUUCGAUGGUAUGUUUUAUUUAUUAAAGAAAGUUUGUAGGUGCUGUCUAAUUACACAUGAUUUUGAUUCACUUGCAUCUUUUGUUUAAAUCAUACUGUUAGAUAUUGGAGGAGCAAUAACCAUGAA
This 224-nucleotide unclassified non-coding RNA is filed under the name Hevea brasiliensis (rubber tree). Lineage: Eukaryota; Viridiplantae; Streptophyta; Magnoliopsida; Malpighiales; Euphorbiaceae. The record is from RNAcentral.